This 570-nucleotide ribosomal RNA is filed under the name Niambia sp. 1 MJ-2015. Its description in RNAcentral is "bacterial SSU rRNA". It matches the Rfam family "Eukaryotic small subunit ribosomal RNA", at positions 116 to 611 of the family's 1831-position model. The record is from RNAcentral. Lineage: Eukaryota; Metazoa; Arthropoda; Malacostraca; Isopoda; Platyarthridae.
UUUAUGGGAUGUUGUAAAAUCCUUACUCGGAUAACUGUGGUAAUUCUAGAGCUAAUACGUGCAACUAGUCUCCGACCCCGGCUUCGCGAGAGGUCGGGGGAAGGGCGCAUUUAUUAGACCAAAAACCGGGUGGACGUUCGGGGCAAUCUCCGCUUCGCGCGGCAGCAUUCGUCCUCGUCCAAUCCUCUUACGGUUAUGUGGUGACUCUGAAUAACUACCGCCGAGCGCUGAGGUCUUAGUACCGGCGCCGUAUCCUUCAAGUGUCUGCCUUAUCAGCUCUCGAUUGUAGGUUAUUCGCCUACAAUGGCUGUAACGGGUAACGGGGAAUCAGGGUUCGAUUCCGGAGAGGGAGCCUGAGAAACGGCUACCACAUCUAAGGAAGGCAGCAGGCACGCAAAUUACCCAAUCCCGGCUCGGGGAGGUAGUGACGAAAAAUAACGAUGCGGGACUCUUCCGAGGCCUCGCAAUCGGAAUGAGUUCAAUGUAAAAACUUGGACGAGGAUCCAUUGGAGGGCAAGUCUGGUGCCAGCAGCCGCGGUAAUUCCAGCUCCAAUAGCGUAUAUUAAAGUU